UACGGAGAGUGCAAGCAUUAAUCGGAAUGAUUGGGCGUAAAGGGCGCGUAGGCUGAAUGAUAAGUCAGAUGUGAAAUUCCGAAGCUCAACUUCGGAGCUGCAUUUGAAACUGUGAUUCUAGAGGGUUGACGGAGAAAACGGAAUUCCACGUGUAGCGGUGAAAUGCGUAGAUAUGUGGAAGAACACCUGUGGCGAAAGCGGUUUUCUAGUUAAUACCUGACGCUGAGGCGCGAGAGCAAGGGGAUCAAACAGG
Molecule: ribosomal RNA, 253 nt
Filed under: uncultured Simkania sp.
Lineage: Bacteria; Pseudomonadati; Chlamydiota; Chlamydiia; Parachlamydiales; Simkaniaceae
Description: partial 16S ribosomal RNA
Rfam family: Bacterial small subunit ribosomal RNA
Source: RNAcentral